RNAcentral lists this transfer RNA (76 nucleotides) under Segatella copri. RNAcentral describes it as "tRNA-Thr". It matches the Rfam family "tRNA". From Rfam's summary of the family: Transfer RNA (tRNA) molecules are approximately 80 nucleotides in length. Lineage: Bacteria; Pseudomonadati; Bacteroidota; Bacteroidia; Bacteroidales; Prevotellaceae. The record is from RNAcentral.
GCUGGUGUAGCUCAGUCGGUAGAGCAGGGAUUUUGUAAGUCUCAGGUCGCGGGUUCGAACCCUGUCACCAGCUCCA